Molecule: ribosomal RNA, 468 nt
Filed under: uncultured bacterium
Lineage: Bacteria
Description: partial 16S ribosomal RNA
Rfam family: Bacterial small subunit ribosomal RNA
Source: RNAcentral
GACGAACGCUGGCGGCGUGCUUAACACAUGCAAGUCGAACGGAAAGGCCCUGCUUUUGUGGGGUGCUCGAGUGGCGAACGGGUGAGUAACACGUGAGUAACCUGCCCUUGACUUUGGGAUAACUUCAGGAAACUGGGGCUAAUACCGGACAGGAGCUCCUGCUGCAUGGUGGGGGGUGGAAAGUUUCGGCGGUUGGGGAUGGACUCGCGGCUUAUCGGCUUGUUGGUGGGGUAGUGGCUGACCAAGGCUUUGACGGGUAGCCGGCCGGGGAGGGUGACCGGCCACCAUGGGCCUGCGGUACGGCCCAGACUCCUACGGGGGGCAACAGUGGGGAAUAUUGCACAGUGGGCGGAAGCCUGAUGCAGCAACGCCGCGUGCGGGAUGACGGCCUUCGGGUUGUAAACCGCUUUCGCCUGUGACGAAGCGGGAGUGACGGUAAUGGGUAAAGAAGCACCGGCUAACUACGUG